UCAGAGUGAACGCUGGCGGCGUGCCUAAUACAUGCAAGUCGAACGAUGAAGCUCUAGCUUGCUAGAGUGGAUUAGUGGCGCACGGGUGAGUAAUGCAUAGAUAACAUGCCCUUUAGUCUAGGAUAGCCAUUGGAAACGAUGAUUAAUACUGGAUACUCCUUACGAGGGAAAGUUUUUCGCUAAAGGAUUGGUCUAUGUCCUAUCAGCUUGUUGGUGAGGUAAUGGCUCACCAAGGCUAUGACGGGUAUCCGGCCUGAGAGGGUGAACGGACACACUGGAACUGAGACACGGUCCAGACUCCUACGGGAGGCAGCAGUAGGGAAUAUUGCUCAAUGGGGGAAACCCUGAAGCAGCAACGCCGCGUGGAGGAUGAAGGUUUUCGGAUUGUAAACUCCUUUUGUUAGAGAAGAUAAUGACGGUAUCUAACGAAUAAGCACCGGCUAACUCCGUGCCAGCAGCCGCGGUAAUACGGAGGGUGCAAGCGUUACUCGGAAUCACUGGGCGUAAAGAGCGCGUAGGCGGGAUAGCAAGUCAGAUGUGAAAUCCUAUGGCUUAACCAUAGAACUGCAUUUGAAACUGUUAUUCUAGAGUAUGGGAGAGGUAGGUGGAAUUCUUGGUGUAGGGGUAAAAUCCGUAGAGAUCAAGAGGAAUACUCAUUGCGAAGGCGACCUGCUAGAACAUAACUGACGCUGAUGCGCGAAAGCGUGGGGAGCAAACAGGAUUAGAUACCCUGGUAGUCCACGCCCUAAACGAUGAAUGCUAGUUGUUGUGGAGCUUGUCUCUGCAGUAAUGCAGCUAACGCAUUAAGCAUUCCGCCUGGGGAGUACGGUCGCAAGAUUAAAACUCAAAGGAAUAGACGGGGACCCGCACAAGCGGUGGAGCAUGUGGUUUAAUUCGAAGAUACACGAAGAACCUUACCUAGGCUUGACAUUGAUAGAAUCCGCUAGAGAUAGUGGAGUGCUAGCUUGCUAGAACUUGAAAACAGGUGCUGCACGGCUGUCGUCAGCUCGUGUCGUGAGAUGUUGGGUUAAGUCCCGCAACGAGCGCAACCCUCGUCCUUAGUUGCUAACUAUUCGGUAGAGCACUCUAAGGAGACUGCCUUCGCAAGGAGGAGGAAGGUGAGGAUGACGUCAAGUCAUCAUGGCCCUUACGCCUAGGGCUACACACGUGCUACAAUGGGAAGCACAAAGAGAUGCAAUAUUGUGAAAUGGAGCAAAUCUAUAAAACUUCUCUCAGUUCGGAUUGUAGUCUGCAACUCGACUACAUGAAGCUGGAAUCGCUAGUAAUCGUAAAUCAGCUAUGUUACGGUGAAUACGUUCCCGGGUCUUGUACUCACCGCCCGUCACACCAUGGGAGUUGUAUUCGCCUUAAGUCGGAAUGCCAAACUGGCUACCGCCCACGGCGGAUGCAGCGACUGGGGUGA
RNAcentral lists this ribosomal RNA (1423 nucleotides) under Helicobacter ganmani. RNAcentral's name for it is "16S ribosomal RNA". It matches the Rfam family "Bacterial small subunit ribosomal RNA". Lineage: Bacteria; Pseudomonadati; Campylobacterota; Epsilonproteobacteria; Campylobacterales; Helicobacteraceae. The record is from RNAcentral.